GAUGAACGCUGGCGGCAUGCCUAAUACCUGCAAGUCGAGCGAACAGACGAGGAGCUUGCUCCUCUGACGUUAGCGGCGGACGGGUGAGUAACACGUGGAUAACCUACCUAUAAGACUGGGAUAACUUCGGGAAACCGGAGCUAAUACCGGAUAAUAUAUUGAACCGCAUGGUUCAAUAGUGAAAGACGGUUUUGCUGUCACUUAUAGAUGGAUCCGCGCCGCAUUAGCUAGUUGGUAAGGUAACGGCUUACCAAGGCAACGAUGCGUAGCCGACCUGAGAGGGUGAUCGGCCACACUGGAACUGAGACACGGUCCAGACUCCUACGGGAGGCAGCAGUAGGGAAUCUUCCGCAAAGGGCGAAAGCCUGACGGAGCAACGCCGCGUGAGUGAUGAAGGUCUUCGGAUCGUAAAACUCUGUUAUUAGGGAAGAACAAAUGUGUAAGUAACCAUGCACGUCUUGACGGUACCUAAUCAGAAAGCCACGGCUAACUACGUG
This 497-nucleotide ribosomal RNA is filed under the name uncultured bacterium. Its description in RNAcentral is "partial 16S ribosomal RNA". It matches the Rfam family "Bacterial small subunit ribosomal RNA", at positions 28 to 507 of the family's 1533-position model. The record is from RNAcentral.